UCCCCGGUGGCUCAGUGGUAGAGAAUCUGCCUGCCAAUGCAGGAGAUACAGGUUCGAUCCCUGGUCUGGGAA
This 72-nucleotide transfer RNA is filed under the name Bos taurus (domestic cattle). It matches the Rfam family "tRNA". From Rfam's summary of the family: Transfer RNA (tRNA) molecules are approximately 80 nucleotides in length. The record is from Rfam by way of RNAcentral. RNAcentral also lists the same sequence under 4 other names. Lineage: Eukaryota; Metazoa; Chordata; Mammalia; Artiodactyla; Bovidae.